UCUCCGUAGGUGAACCUGCGGAGGGAUCAUUACAAGUGACCCCGUUCUUACCACCCCGAUGUUCAUAACCCUUUGUUGUCCGACUCUGUUACCUGCUAGUCGACUCUUCCUUCUCGCGGAAGCUCCGGUUGGACGCUUCAAACUCUUGCAUAACUUUGCAGUCUUAUUAAUCUUUUUUACUAAAUUAAAACUUAUAACAACCGAUCUCUUGUAUCUGCCAUCGUUGAAGAACGCAGCAUAUCGUAUGAGCACACUUCUGAACUCCGUCACCAUUCGUCA
RNAcentral lists this unclassified non-coding RNA (279 nucleotides) under plant metagenome. Its description in RNAcentral is "partial contains small subunit ribosomal RNA, internal transcribed spacer 1, and 5.8S ribosomal RNA". The record is from RNAcentral.